RNAcentral lists this ribosomal RNA (249 nucleotides) under Klebsiella pneumoniae. RNAcentral's name for it is "partial 16S ribosomal RNA". It matches the Rfam family "Bacterial small subunit ribosomal RNA", at positions 348 to 589 of the family's 1533-position model. The record is from RNAcentral. Lineage: Bacteria; Pseudomonadati; Pseudomonadota; Gammaproteobacteria; Enterobacterales; Enterobacteriaceae.
GCAGCAGUGGGGAAUAUUGCACAAUGGGCGCAAGCCUGAUGCAGCCAUGCCGCGUGUGUGAAGAAGGCCUUCGGGUUGUAAAGCACUUUCAGCGGGGAGGAAGGCGGUGAGGUUAAUAACCUCAUCGAUUGACGUUACCCGCAGAAGAAGCACCGGCUAACUCCGUGCCAGCAGCCGCGGUAAUACGGAGGGUGCAAGCGUUAAUCGGAAUUACUGGGCGUAAAGCGCACGCAGGCGGUCUGUCAAGUC